GCAUCUGUUUGGCCAGACAGAUGUUUGGUGUUCAAGAUUCUCUAUCUUUGGGAGGAAUCUGGUUCAGUCUUCUAUUUGUUUCUUGAUCACUUGAUCAUGUUAUGGCUUUUGGAUAUCAUCCGUUUUUUGUAAGUCCAACAAUAUUUAUAUUAAUUCUGUGCAUUCAAAUUUAGUUAUUAUUAUUCGAGUCCAUAAAGUCUAGCAAAGUUUGGGUAGAUGCAUGGGUUUGAAUUUGGUAACCGUUAGAUAUCGUCUUAUCGUGUAAGGGUAAAAUUGUAUGAAACUAACGUUGGUGAUUAUCCGGUAAAUUUUUAUUAACAGGAAUUAUUCCAAUAUACCUGGAACAUUAAACCAAUUGCAUUAGUAUGUGCUUUCGUGUGGAAAAUUGAUAAAACCAUAAUACAUAUAGAAUAAUAUCGUAUUUUCCGAUUUUCUCGCGUAUUUGUUAAUUUUGUCACAAUUUAACACCACUACUUAGCAUUUUUUCACCAAACUAUGAGUAAUUGAGCACUUAACUAUUGUCGAGUAACAUUUAAGCCCUAACUAGUGUGUAAUUGGAUGAAACUAGAUGUAAAGUAACAAUUACAUGCAAACCAAACUAAACAAAAAUCUUUAGGAGACAAGGUUUAUUAAACAAGUAACACUUUUCACAACCCCCUGCCUCUUUUUCGGCCUAAACCCAACCCCAAGACACCCUCAAAGUUUGUUUAACUUAUUUGACUAGCCAUAAUGUGCAUGCUUAGUCUUGUAACUUAGCACUUCUAAUCACAUCCUCAUAUGGUGUGCUCUAUGUUCAAGAUUUCGCUUUUACAAU
RNAcentral lists this long non-coding RNA (814 nucleotides) under Helianthus annuus (common sunflower). Lineage: Eukaryota; Viridiplantae; Streptophyta; Magnoliopsida; Asterales; Asteraceae. The record is from RNAcentral.